UAAUAUUUAUUGAAUUUUCUAAAUAGUCGUCUGUCACAUUAAUCUCAAUCGGAAGAAGUGCAGCUCCCGCCCCCUUUGCCGUCCAUCUCUGAAAUAAGCUCCUGGCCCCUUUGCCGUCGAUCUCCCCGCCGCGCGCUUCGAUCUCCGCCGUCUUCCCUGCCACCCGCUCCGAUAUCCGCCGUCUAUCUCUGCAUCUUCUCCCCAUCGUCGCCUUCAGUUGCUGUUGCCAUUGCUGGAACAAUGAUCUGAAGACCGAUCAUUCAACCGAUUGAAAGCUCUUACUGCUAGAAUACACAAUCGAUCAAGUAGCUUUCUCCUCUUCAAUUCAAGCCAGGUUUCACGGAAGAAGAGCUUGCUUGGCAAACUUCUUUGGUCUGCUACUGAUGCUAAAGAGCUCCAGCAAAAGGAAUUUGAAGGGCAUGCUCUUAACAAACUUGUGGGAAUGGCCUAUGAGAAGUACAUGAGUUGCUGUGGACCUAACGGACCUAUAAUUAGGAUACUUAAUUCUUAAUUGUGAGAUACUGCAGUUUCAAGUCUUGUCCUGUGCCCGUUUGCCAAUUGCUAGCUGCUGUGUCAUCGUCGUCGUGACCUUACAUCAUUGUGUCCAGGUUAGUGUUUUAAAACUGGCUUGUAUAUUAAACUGCCAGUGGGGGAGAGGCAGAGAUGCAUGUGUAUUUAUUUGAAACUGCCGGUGGGGGAGAGGCAGAGAUGCAUGUGUAUUUAUUUGAAAUUGCCGGUGGGGGAGAGGCAAAGAUGCAUAUCUAUUUAUUUGAAAUUGCCGGUGGGGGAGAGGAAAAUAUGCAUAUCUAUUUAUUUGAAAUUGCCGGUGGGGGAGAGGCAGAGAGAGGCUACUCUACAGGCUACUCUACAGGCUGAGGUGCAGGAGCGACGACGAAAAGAAGCAGAAAUGGAGACUAGGCAGUUGGAAAUGCAACAACAGAUUUCUCAGCUUAUGAAAUUCUUCCAAUCAUCCUCAGGGUCGUUCCCCCGUUCCUCGUCUCCACCCUAGAUACAUGUUUUGUACUUAUUAUAUAUUGUUAUCAGAUUUUUAUUUAGAUGUUUAUGAAUUUAUUACACUAA
This is a long non-coding RNA of Salvia miltiorrhiza (redroot sage), 1080 nucleotides long. RefSeq lists it as uncharacterized. NCBI's taxonomy places the organism in Eukaryota, Viridiplantae, Streptophyta, Magnoliopsida, Lamiales, Lamiaceae. The transcript has 6 exons. The record is from RefSeq and is a predicted model, not a curated record.